GAAGCACCGGCUAACUCCGUGCCAGCAGCCGCGGUAAUACGGAGGGUGCAAGCGUUGUUCGGAUUUAUUGGGCGUAAAGCGCGUGUAGGCGGUCUUUUAAGUCUGAUGUGAAAGCCCUGGGCUCAACCUGGGAAGUGCAUUGGAUACUGGGAGACUUGAAUACGGGAGAGGGUAGUGGAAUUCCUAGUGUAGGAGUGAAAUCCGUAGAUAUUAGGAGGAACACCGGUGGCGAAGGCGGCUGCCUGGACCGAUAUUGACGCUGAGACGCGAAAGCGUGGGGAGCAAACAGGACUAGAUACCCUGGUAGUCCACGCCGUAAAC
RNAcentral lists this ribosomal RNA (321 nucleotides) under uncultured Geobacter sp. RNAcentral's name for it is "bacterial SSU rRNA". It matches the Rfam family "Bacterial small subunit ribosomal RNA", at positions 487 to 807 of the family's 1533-position model. Lineage: Bacteria; Pseudomonadati; Thermodesulfobacteriota; Desulfuromonadia; Geobacterales; Geobacteraceae. The record is from RNAcentral.